This 400-nucleotide ribosomal RNA is filed under the name uncultured bacterium. Its description in RNAcentral is "bacterial SSU rRNA". It matches the Rfam family "Bacterial small subunit ribosomal RNA", at positions 329 to 745 of the family's 1533-position model. The record is from RNAcentral.
UUUAAGCUUCCUACGGGAGGCUGCAGUGGGGAAUCUUGCGCAAUGGGCGAAAGCCUGACGCAGCCAUGCCGCGUGAAUGAUGAAGGUCUUAGGAUUGUAAAAUUCUUUCACCGGGGACGAUAAUGACGGUACCCGGAGAAGAAGCCCCGGCUAACUUCGUGCCAGCAGCCGCGGUAAUACGAAGGGGGCUAGCGUUGCUCGGAAUUACUGGGCGUAAAGGGAGCGUAGGCGGACAUUUAAGUCAGGGGUGAAAUCCCGGGGCUCAACCUCGGAAUUGCCUUUGAUACUGGGUGUCUUGAGUAUGAGAGAGGUGUGUGGAACUCCGAGUGUAGAGGUGAAAUUCGUAGAUAUUCGGAAGAACCCCAAUGAAAGGAGGCGACACACUGGCUCAUUACUGACG